GGGAAGACGCUGGCGGCGUGCCUACUACAUGCAUGUCGAGCGGACAGAUGGGAGCUUGCUCCCUGAUGUUAGCGGCGGACGGGUGAGUAACACGUGGGUAACCUGCCUGUAAGACUGGGAUAACUCCGGGAAACCGGGGCUAAUACCGGAUGGUUGUCUGAACCGCAUGGUUCAGACAUAAAAGGUGGCUUCGGCUACCACUUACAGAUGGACCCGCGGCGCAUUAGCUAGUUGGUGAGGUAACGGCUCACCAAGGCGACGAUGCGUAGCCGACCUGAGAGGGUGAUCGGCCACACUGGGACUGAGACACGGCCCAGACUCCUACGGGAGGCAGCAGUAGGGAAUCUUCCGCAAUGGACGAAAGUCUGACGGAGCAACGCCGCGUGAGUGAUGAAGGUUUUCGGAUCGUAAAGCUCUGUUGUUAGGGAAGAACAAGUGCCGUUCAAAUAGGGCGGCACCUUGACGGUACCUAACCAGAAAGCCACGGCUAACUACGUGCCAGCAGCCGCGGUAAUACGUAGGUGGCAAGCGUUGUCCGGAAUUAUUGGGCGUAAAGGGCUCGCAGGCGGUUUCUUAAGUCUGAUGUGAAAGCCCCGGCUCAACCGGGGAGGGUCAUUGAAACUGGGGAACUUGAUGCAAAAAAGGAAAGUGAAUUCCCGUGUAGCGGUGAAUGCGAAAGAUGUGGAAGAACCCGUGGCCAAGGCAAUUCUUGGUUGUAACUGACCUGAAGACGAACGUGGGGAGAAAGGAUAGAUCG
This 757-nucleotide ribosomal RNA is filed under the name Bacillus sp. HPC1412. RNAcentral describes it as "bacterial SSU rRNA". It matches the Rfam family "Bacterial small subunit ribosomal RNA", at positions 26 to 785 of the family's 1533-position model. The record is from RNAcentral. Lineage: Bacteria; Bacillati; Bacillota; Bacilli; Caryophanales; Bacillaceae.